UGGACAAAACCAAGGCCGAACGAAACCAAAAUCAUCAAAAAACUACAAUCAAAACCGCUGAUGAACUGAACAAGAACUAGCUAGGAAUCAAAACGUGCUGGAACCGAACUGGUCCAAUUCCAGUUCAACCCCUCCCUGGACAAAACCAAGGCCGAACGAAACCAAAAUCAUCAAAAAACUACAAUCAAAACCGCUGAUGAACUGAACAAGAACUAGCUAGGAAUCAAAACGUGCUGGAACCGAACUGGUCCAAUUCCAGUUCAACCCCUCCCCAUACACUAAAAUGCCGAUUAUGGCCUAGAAUCGGCUUGGACCAAAUCGGUGGCCAGACCUACCAAGGUUUACAUGUAAGGGAUGCACCACCAAGGUAACAACUAUUCAUUAGCUAAGAUAUAGCAUCUAUCUAAGUCUAACUUAUCACAUUUAUGAGCAGGAGCAUAUGACUUUUAAAAAUUAUGUGUAGAAUUUAUGUUUUAUAAAUAUGCCCUCAAUUAUUUAUCUUUAUCCCAACUCAAUUGCUGAAAUUGCUCCCAUUAUAUAGUGUUAGUGUUUUUAUAAAAUUACCCCACUCAAUUACUUCUCUUUGAUGUCUCAUGGUGCAAAUUAUUUGCAGUUGAUGUUGUCUUAAUAAUGAAACUAGUGGAGUUAACAAAAAUUAGAGUUGUGGAGAAGGACUCCUAGAAACAAGAGUUUUAGGCUAAGCAUAAAUAAGACGGAAUACGUGCACUGUGAGUUAAACGUUCGUAGAAGGAAUUAGAUGGAGUUUAUGUACCAAAAUGUCCUGUUGGCAUUGAGAUUCUGGACUAAAAUGCGCUUUUCAAAAAAAUCAUCAUUUUAGAUGUUGAAAAAAAGCAAUUUGUAAUAAGUUCUUCUAUUAUUUUGAUAUUCUUAUGACUAGAACAUAUUAAAUUUAAUUUUACAUCAAUUUUUAAUAUCAUCUAACUAACAUAUUUAGAAAAAUAAUUUUUUUCAACAACAGUUUUAGCAGUAAUGCCAAAUAAGCCCGAAUAAAUAAAUAUGUAACUCAUAGGAUCAAAACAGAAUGGAUGAAAUGGAGUACAAUGGUUAUGCUAUGCAAACAUAGGAUCCCUGACAAAAUGAAAUGCAAGUUCUAUAAAAUUAUAGUCAAACCAGCUACGUUGUAUUGUAUAUGAAUGAAUGUUGAGCAUCUAAAAUACAAUAUACCCAUCAAAUGACUCUGGUAGAAAAAAAGAUGUUUAUAUGGAUGUCGGUAGCAUGAUAAUGAAUAAGUAUAGGAAUGACCACAUCUCCCAAAGAGUGAAUGUAGCAUGCAUCGGAGAUAAAAUGAGAGUGUCGAUUAAAAUAGUUUGAUCAUGUCUAACAUUAAGUAUCAAAUGCCCCAGUACAGAAGUGAUAUGUUAGUGUUGAAAGAAGUGAAAAGGAAAAAUGGAGACCUAAAAUGACAGAGGGAAGUAGCAUUAAAAAAAAUUCUCAUUUUU
Molecule: unclassified non-coding RNA, 1460 nt
Filed under: Hevea brasiliensis (rubber tree)
Lineage: Eukaryota; Viridiplantae; Streptophyta; Magnoliopsida; Malpighiales; Euphorbiaceae
Source: RNAcentral